This 115-nucleotide small RNA is filed under the name Pseudomonas duriflava. The record is from RNAcentral. Lineage: Bacteria; Pseudomonadati; Pseudomonadota; Gammaproteobacteria; Pseudomonadales; Pseudomonadaceae.
UCGGACAGAGCACAGGAUGUGCUCCUCUCAGGUCAAGGAUGAUGACCGCGCCAGGAUGGCACCUCGAUAAGGAUAUUGAGUCCGGUCAACAAGAACCCCGCUUCGGCGGGGUUCU